GGCAGGCGGCGUGCUAAUACAUGCAAGUCGAGCGAACUGAUUAGAAGCUUGCUUCUAUGACGUUAGCGGCGGACGGGUGAGUAACACGUGGGCAACCUGCCUGUAAGACUGGGAUAACUUCGGGAAACCGAAGCUAAUACCGGAUAGGAUCUUCUCCUUCAUGGGAGAUGAUUGAAAGAUGGUUUCGGCUAUCACUUACAGAUGGGCCCGCGGUGCAUUAGCUAGUUGGUGAGGUAACGGCUCACCAAGGCAACGAUGCAUAGCCGACCUGAGAGGGUGAUCGGCCACACUGGGACUGAGACACGGCCCAGACUCCUACGGGAGGCAGCAGUAGGGAAUCUUCCGCAAUGGACGAAAGUCUGACGGAGCAACGCCGCGUGAGUGAUGAAGGCUUUCGGGUCGUAAAACUCUGUUGUUAGGGAAGAACAAGUACAAGAGUAACUGCUCGUACCUUGACGGUACCUAACCAGAAAGCCACGGCUAACUACGUGCCAGCAGCCGCGGUAAUACGUAGGUGGCAAGCGUUAUCCGGAAUUAUUGGGCGUAAAGCGCGCGCAGGCGGUUUCUUAAGUCUGAUGUGAAAGCCCACGGCUCAACCGUGGAGGGUCAUUGGAAACUGGGGAACUUGAGUGCAGAAGAGAAAAGCGGAAUUCCACGUGUAGCGGUGAAAUGCGUAGAGAUGUGGAGGAACACCAGUGGCGAAGGCGGCUUUUUGGUCUGUAACUGACGCUGAGGCGCGAAAGCGUGGGAACGC
Molecule: ribosomal RNA, 754 nt
Filed under: Priestia megaterium
Lineage: Bacteria; Bacillati; Bacillota; Bacilli; Caryophanales; Bacillaceae
Description: bacterial SSU rRNA
Rfam family: Bacterial small subunit ribosomal RNA
Source: RNAcentral